UGGUGAGGUAAUGGCUCACCAAGACCGCGAUGGGUAGCCGGCCUGAGAGGGUGAACGGCCACACUGGAACUGAGACACGGUCCAGACUCCUACGGGAGGCAGCAGUGGGGAAUCUUGCACAAUGGGCGAAAGCCUGAUGCAGCGACGCCGCGUGAAUGAUGAAGGCCUUCGGGUCGUAAAAUUCUGUCCUAAGGGAAGAUAAUGACGGUACCUUAGGAGGAAGCACCGGCUAACUACGUGCCAGCAGCCGCGGUAAUACGUAGGGUGCAAGCGUUGUCCGGAAUUACUGGGCGUAAAGGGUUCGCAGGCGGCCUUUUAAGUCAGGCGUUAAAGAUCAUGGCUCAACCAUGGUAUGCGCUUGAAACUGAAAGGCUUGAGUCAAGGAGAGGAAAGUGGAAUUCCUAGUGUAGCGGUGAAAUGCGUAGAUAUUAGGAGGAAUACCAGUGGCGAAGGCGACUUUCUGGACUUGUACUGACGCUGAGGAACGAAAGCAUGGGUAGCAAACAGGAUUAGAUACCCUGGUAGUCCAUGCCGUAAACGAUGAGUGCUAGGUGUCGGGUGUCAAAGCUCGGUGCCGCAGUUAA
RNAcentral lists this ribosomal RNA (584 nucleotides) under uncultured bacterium. Its description in RNAcentral is "bacterial SSU rRNA". It matches the Rfam family "Bacterial small subunit ribosomal RNA", at positions 250 to 855 of the family's 1533-position model. The record is from RNAcentral.